GACGAACGCUGGCGGCGUGCUUAACACAUGCAUGUCGAACGGAAAGGCCCUGCUUUUGUGGGGUGCUCGAGUGGCGAACGGGUGAGUAACACGUGAGUAACCUGCCCUUGACUUUGGGAUAACUUCAGGAAACUGGGGCUAAUACCGGAUAGGAGCUCCUGCUGCAUGGUGGGGGUUGGAAAGUUUCGGCGGUUGGGGAUGGACUCGCGGCUUAUCAGCUUGUUGGUGGGGUAGUGGCUCACCAAGGCUUUGACGGGUAGCCGGCCUGAGAGGGUGACCGGCCACAUUGGGACUGAGAUACGGCCCAGACUCCUACGGGAGGCAGCAGUGGGGAAUAUUGCACAAUGGGCGGAAGCCUGAUGCAGCAACGCCGCGUGCGGGAUGACGGCCUUCGGGUUGUAAACCGCUUUCGCCUGUGACGAAGCGUGAGUGACGGUAAUGGGUAAAGAAGCACCGGCUAACUACGUG
Molecule: ribosomal RNA, 468 nt
Filed under: uncultured bacterium
Lineage: Bacteria
Description: partial 16S ribosomal RNA
Rfam family: Bacterial small subunit ribosomal RNA
Source: RNAcentral